RNAcentral lists this transfer RNA (72 nucleotides) under Loxodonta africana (African savanna elephant). It matches the Rfam family "tRNA". From Rfam's summary of the family: Transfer RNA (tRNA) molecules are approximately 80 nucleotides in length. Their secondary structure includes four short double-helical elements and three loops (D, anti-codon, and T loops). Further hydrogen bonds mediate the characteristic L-shaped molecular structure. tRNAs have two regions of fundamental functional importance: the anti-codon, which is responsible for specific mRNA codon recognition, and the 3' end, to which the tRNAs corresponding amino acid is attached (by aminoacyl-tRNA synthetases). tRNAs cope with the degeneracy of the genetic code in two manners: having more than one tRNA (with a specific anti-codon) for a particular amino acid; and 'wobble' base-pairing, i.e. permitting non-standard base-pairing at the 3rd anti-codon position. The record is from Rfam by way of RNAcentral. Lineage: Eukaryota; Metazoa; Chordata; Mammalia; Proboscidea; Elephantidae.
GCAGUGGUAGUUCAGUGAUAGAAUUCUUGCCUUCCAUGGCAGAGAUUCAGGGUUCAAUUCCCUGCCAAUGCC